GAUGAACGCUAGCUACAGGCUUAACACAUGCAAGUCGAGGGGUAACGAGAGGAAAGCUUGCUUUCCUUGUCGACGACCGGCGCACGGGUGAGUAACGCGUAUUCAACCUGCCCCCAACUAAGGAAUAACCUUGCGAAAGUAAGACUAAUACCUUAUAAUUUCCUCAGAUGUCAUCUGACGAGGAAUAAAGAUUUAUCGGUUGUGGAUGGGGAUGCGUCUGAUUAGCUUGUUGGCGGGGUAACGGCCCACCAAGGCAACGAUCAGUAGGGGUUCUGAGAGGAGGGUCCCCCACAGUGGAACUGAGACACGGUCCAAACUCCUACGGGAGGCAGCAUUGAGGAAUAUUGGUCAAUGGGCGGAAGCCUGAACCAGCCAAGUAGCGUGCAGGAUGACGGCCCUAUGGGUUGUAAACUGCUUUUAUACAGGAAUAAAGGUAGCCACGUGUGGUUAUUUGUAGGUACUGUAUGAAUAAGGACCGGCUAAUUCCGUGCCAGCCGCCGCAGUAA
RNAcentral lists this ribosomal RNA (506 nucleotides) under uncultured bacterium. Its description in RNAcentral is "partial 16S ribosomal RNA". It matches the Rfam family "Bacterial small subunit ribosomal RNA", at positions 28 to 523 of the family's 1533-position model. The record is from RNAcentral.